Pelobates cultripes (western spadefoot toad) is the source of this 348-nucleotide non-coding RNA. NCBI's taxonomy places the organism in Eukaryota, Metazoa, Chordata, Amphibia, Anura, Pelobatidae. The record is from the annotation of a GenBank genome assembly.
AAGUGCCCCUCCCGAGAUCAGGCUCUGGAUCCGCCACUGGAGGAGACAUGUCCACCCAGGGAGCGCAGAUUUUCAAAUCGUGCUAGGUAGUUUCAUGAAUAGCAGUCCUUUUUAAAAAACAAAUUCUUUGUAACCGGUUUUAUAAAUUCUGUAGGACACAUUAAAUGAAAAGUAGCUUAGAUGGGAACUUAUAGUGAUUGUGUCAGGAAUAUAUAGGGAUCCAAAACACAGCGUGUAGUAAAAUAAUAACGUGUACCAGACCUCAGAGUUGCCAGGCUAACGUCACAUGGACAGAGAGUAAACAGGGACAAGCCGAGGUCAGGGAAGCCAGAAACCGAGUCAAAGGAG